RNAcentral lists this long non-coding RNA (212 nucleotides) under Calidris pugnax (ruff). RNAcentral describes it as "lncRNA (ENSCPUG00000014728.1)". Lineage: Eukaryota; Metazoa; Chordata; Aves; Charadriiformes; Scolopacidae. The record is from RNAcentral.
GAUUCAUUGCUCUUUAUUGCACCUAAAAGCUGAGGGAAAUGAUCAGACAUCUCUAAAGCGCAGUGGUUUUCAGCCCCAUCAAAUGGUCAAGAGGAUUUUUUUUACAUCUUGUUACAGGGAAAAGGGUACUUGAGUGGAAAAGGAACAAGAGAUUCCAUGUAGAAAAGUGCAUCUGGGAGCAAGGGUGACCAGAGAUAGACAGAAAAGUGAAG